This is a long non-coding RNA of Leopardus geoffroyi (Geoffroy's cat), 2149 nucleotides long. RefSeq lists it as uncharacterized. The transcript has 4 exons. The record is from RefSeq and is a predicted model, not a curated record. Lineage: Eukaryota; Metazoa; Chordata; Mammalia; Carnivora; Felidae.
UGCCAAUUAUCAAGAUAACCCUGUGGGAGGAGCAGAUUGGGAGCUUCGAAAUCUAGAGUUGUGUUUUAGCCAUAUUAAGUCUGAGAUAGCAACUUUAUAUGAAGGGGAUGUGUUGAGUAGGCAGAUGGAUAUAUGAGAAUACUUUCAGGAGACUGGUGUGGGUUGUAGAUAUAAAUUUAGGCACUGUCAGAGUUCAGAUGGCUUUUAAACCCCUGAAACCAGGAGAGCAGAUAACCUAGGAAGUGAGUAUAGAACCAGAGGAGAGCAGGUCUGAAGACUGGGCUUCAGGAAGAUGAGAAAGAAUGAACAGAGGAGACUCAGAAAGAGUGACAAGUAAAGUAGAAGGCAAACAGAGGAUAGUUCCUGGAAGCAAAGUGAAAGGUGUUUUAAGAAGAGAAUGAUCAACUCUUCCUAAUGUUGCUAGACCUAACUGGAUGAGGAAUAAUUACCACCUUUGGAUUUGAUAUUAUGGCAAUCAUCCAGGACUAUGGAAACACUCUUUCAAUGGAGGUUCCAGAUGUGUGGGCAUCUGAGUUUUGUAGAGAAGACUGGAAUGUGUGUACUGCCUGCUGUGGUAAAAGGAGCUCUUACCUCUGCCACCCAGCAUCUGCAUCUUGCUCCGGUUUGUGGUUACCGACUGUCAUGUGAAUGAACAUGUAUGUCAGGAGUCUCAGAUAUCCAGUCACCACGCAUUUGUCAAGAGCUCACACUGUUCUUCAAUUCUACCAGCGAUCAGGGACUGUGGGCAGGAUGUAAUCCCUGUGUGACUUGGAAGGAUUCCCAGCCUAAUUAAAGAAUCUAACAAGUAAAUUGUUCAGCUCAAAUGAGAAGUGAAUGGCACAUACAAGGAUCAGAGACGUAAGAACAUGGAACCAUUUGGAAAACUGCACAUACAUCGAUCUGACUGGAGUAGAGCAUUCCUCUAGGGGUGCUGAUAGGGCCCAUAUUCUGAGGUAGAAGCCUGAGUACUACUCUGACUAACCUGAAUUUUAUCAUGAUGGUUACAGGUUGUGGGAGACACAGAAGGAUUUUUAAGCAUGGCAGGCAUUUCUAAUUUCUAUUACAGUAAGAUCACUCUGUGAACAAUGUGGAAAGUAGGCAGGUCAGGGGCAAAACCCACUGCAAGCAGUUACAGUGCCACUGCAAUCAGCUUCCCAGGUGAAAACUUUAAGGGUUUUGACCUAUGGCAGUGCAGUACGGAUAGAGGACCUUCUUGUAGGUGAGACAAGUUGGGUUAAAGGUCUUGUUUUGACCUCCUAUAAGACUGGUCAUAAAUCUCUUACUAAUAUACUGGGGUUCAAGGUGUAAGAAGAAAGGUGUUUCUGUUUUUCCUAGGGCUUGGAUCAUGCGGCUUUUCUUUCACUUCCUGUUCUUCAAUAGACAUGUCUUUUCUGAAUAGUCCCAAGAAUGAUGCAUUCUAAAUGCCUGUAGACUUAGAAAGAAUAAAGAAUCAUUAGUCUCCAUGAGCAGGCCAACACUCUACUUCUACAUAGGACUCCUGAAUGGAAUGCCAGGGUAAAAAGACAUGCACCGAUUUAUAUCCCCAAGCAUGCUAUAUUACCAAGUCUACUUCCCCUGUGUUAUAAUAUUUCCAUGUAGUAUAUUUCAUGACAAGAGGUAGGAGCAAAUUUAAUCUCAUCCAUUGCACUGAAUUAAAUCAUGCACUUUUGAAAUAUGCAUCUUAAAUUACUAACAAUUUGGGUUAGUGCUGUUUCCAUAAAAUGUGCUAAUAAUGAAUUAUGUUUCAGAGAAAGAGCUAAUUCAUCAAGGCUAACCGAGCUGUUUUAGGACCUCCUAAAAAGUGCAGAUGAAUGUGAUUUCAGAAUCAUUUAUUGUUAAUGUAAAGACCUAAAUUUGUUGGCAAAAUUCCGCUGGUAUUCUUGGUGAAUGACUCCAGGUGCAGUUAUUAAGGUCAAAUAUUAUGGUGUCACUGUCAAGAUUUUUUUUCUCCUAUAAAAACUGAGGAAGGAUUAUGGAUGUCUUAAUGUAGAGGUCCCUAAUGAACUAUGCCCCACCUGCAGCUGUUAAGUCAAGAUUCAUCUCAAUAAAAAUGUGUGCUUAUCAAAGUUCCAAUUGUAGUCUUAACAAAAUCAGGGCCUUAUCGCUUAUAAAAUCAUAAAAUUAUAGGCUUAGGAAGGAAGUUACAUAG